GCGCGUUCGGCAAUAGCAUCCGAGAGCGGACGGAUAUUUUAUCCACGUGACCACAGAUAUGUCGGAUUUUACAGAUUUAUCUGUAAUAAACGAACGGUACAGAGCUUCCUGAGCUUCAGCUGUUAUGUCAGUUCUUUGAUAUACGCAUGUGGCGCCCUUCGUGGCUAAAUGAAAUGAAAUCAUUAGUAAAACAUAAUCAAUAUUCAUAAUAUACACUUUUACUGUCUUGCCUGCUGAAGAGGCGUUAGAAAUUUAUGCUUUUUUUAACUAUACUAAGAAGUUUUGAGUUGAUGUUGUUUUCAAUAUUGAAAAAUAGGGAAAAAUUCUGAAGAAGUAUAAAAAAACGGAUACCUAAUUCCUCU
Long non-coding RNA from Harmonia axyridis, 362 nucleotides. RefSeq lists it as uncharacterized. The transcript has 2 exons. The record is from RefSeq and is a predicted model, not a curated record. Lineage: Eukaryota; Metazoa; Arthropoda; Insecta; Coleoptera; Coccinellidae.